RNAcentral lists this ribosomal RNA (253 nucleotides) under uncultured bacterium. RNAcentral's name for it is "partial 16S ribosomal RNA". It matches the Rfam family "Bacterial small subunit ribosomal RNA", at positions 524 to 776 of the family's 1533-position model. The record is from RNAcentral.
UACGGGGGGGGCAAGCGUUGUUCGGAAUUACUGGGCGUAAAGGGCGCGUAGGCGGUUGGAUAAGUCAGCUGUGAAAACCAUGAGCUCAACUUGUGGCCUGCAGUUGAAACUGUCUGGCUAGAGUGUGGGAGAGGGAAGUGGAAUUCCUGGUGUAGCGGUGAAAUGCGUAGAUAUCAGGAGGAACACCGGUGGCGAAGGCGGCUUCCUGGACCACAACUGACGCUGAGGCGCGAAAGCUAGGGGAGCAAACAGG